Glycine soja is the source of this 6613-nucleotide RNA transcript. It is a transcript of the gene named nucleoporin NUP188 homolog, with no coding region annotated. The transcript is spliced from 33 exons. Lineage: Eukaryota; Viridiplantae; Streptophyta; Magnoliopsida; Fabales; Fabaceae. The record is from RefSeq and is a predicted model, not a curated record.
ACAGCAUAGAAAGCGCGAAAAAGAGAGAAAAAUCAAAUCAAAUGAAAAAUUAAACUAAACCCUUCCAUUACUGUGUUUUCCGCAGUGUUAGGGUUUAACUUUCUCUUCUUCGUUCCCGUUCUCGUUCUCGUCCUCUCCUCUAACAAUGGCUGAUACCAGUUCCGUGGAUGCGUCUCUGUGGUGGGACUCAUUCACUGUCCUCUUCUCUGAGCUUGAAAAUUCCUCUCUGACCUCAGAUCUCCCACCGAAUUUGGCGAAGAAGUUGAAAGACAACCAUGCCUGGUUCGUGGACACACUGACGCGCUUCAAACCGCCCAAUCAGAGUUCAAAGGAAGCUUUGAGUUCAAAAACGCUGAAAAUUGGAUCUCACCAACUCACUAUUCAACCUCAGCUGAAAGAUACAGCGUUGCAGAUUAGCUCCUGUCUGCUACUAGACGAGGUUCAAUCAUACAUUCUUGUCGAAAGGUCCAUCAAACACAACAAUGCUGCUGUGGCUGAUUCCAUGGCUCCAGAGUUUCUUUACAUGAUGUUAGUUCAAUAUUACAAGGAGCGACAGUGCUUGCUAAAGUGCAUCAGGUGGAUUCUCAUGCAUGCUAUACACAAUGGUUAUGUGGCUGAAGACAAUACUAUGAAGGAGGAGGCAAGAAAACUGUUUCAUGAUGGACUGGAAAAUAAAUUAAUAUUGUUCUUUAGCAAUCUUUUGUCAUGUAGUUUCCCAGAGCAAAUGGAUGUUGAUCUUUUUACUCUGUGGGCUGAGGAGACUCUAAUUGAAGACAACUUGGUUUUAGAUAUCCUUUUCCUAGCAUAUUAUGAUUCGUUUUGUACCUGUAGCAGUGAAAUGUGGAAGAAGUUUAUUUCUCUUUACAAGGGGAUCUUAGCUGGUGAUUAUAAUUUGGGAAAGCUAUCAAUUACAACAGAAACACAACAGUUGUCUUAUCAUGCUAAAGUUCAGCUGCUGCUUAUUUUAAUAGAAACCCUGAACCUGGAGAAUGUUCUUCAAAUGGUUCAUGAUGAAGUACCUUACAGGAAAGGCGUGUCUACAUUUUCCAUGACUGAUGUUCAAGAAAUGGAUGCACUAGUUUCUACAUUCAAUGCUUUUGAAAUGAAAGAAGCUGGUCCUCUAGUUCUAGCAUGGGCAGUAUUUCUUUAUCUACUCUUGACACUUGUGGAAAAAGAUGAAAAUAAUGAGCUAAUGGAGAUUGAUCACAUUAGUUAUGUUCGUCAAGCCUUUGAGGCUGGAUCCUUGCGUUAUUGUCUUGAAAUUCUUGAAUGUGACAUUUUGAAGGAAUAUGAUGGCCCAGUGUCUGGAUAUCGCGGUGUUUUGAGGACAUUUAUAUCUGCAUUUGUUGCAUCUUAUGAAAUCAACCUUCAGCCUGAGGACAGUAACCCCACUUUGAUGCUGGAUAUUCUUUGCAAGAUUUACCGUGGAGAGGAAUCAUUGUGUAUUCAGUUUUGGGACAAGGAAAGUUUUAUUGACGGUCCAAUUCGGUCUCUUCUUUGCAACCUAGAGAGUGAGUUUCCUUUCAGGACACUCGAACUUGUACAACUCCUGUCAUCCCUUUGUGAAGGAACUUGGCCUGCAGAGUGUGUGUAUAACUUUCUAAAUAGGUCUGUUGGUAUAUCAUCCUUGUUUGAGAUUAGUAGUGAUUUGGAGGUAGUUGAGGCACAACAGGCAGUGCAAGUUCCUGGGGUUGAAGGUUUCUUUAUUCCAGCUGGAACUCGUGGUAGUGUCUUGAGAGUUGUUGGAGAGAACACUGCCCUUGUACGAUGGGAGUAUUCACCAUCUGGAAUGUUUGUGUUACUCCUACAUUUGGCCCAAGAGAUGUAUUUGAAUAGCAAGGAUGGAGUUGUUUAUACUCUUGACCUGCUUAGUAGAUUGGUGUCUUUUAACACUGGUGUUUGCUUUGCUGUGAUGGACAUCAGCAACUCUCUGCUAUUUCAUGAUGUUGGUUUGAUGGAUGAGCAGGUUGAAAAGAGGGUCUGGGUAGUUGACAUAAUAUGCAAUCUUGUAAAAAACCUGACUCUGAAUUCCUGCGGUGCUGCACUUAUGUCAAUGGGUGUCAAGAUUUUGGGGAUUAUGUUGAUUUGUUCUCCAGCUAAUGUUGCAGCAACCACUCUAAAUGCAAAUCUUUUUGAUAUUACUUUGCAGACACCUACGUUCAACGUAGGCAGUAAUGGUUUGUCAAGUGGGUCAUGGUUGCUUUCUUGCAAACUGGCUAGGAUGCUUUUAAUUGACUGUGAGCAAAACAGUAAUGACUGCCCCUUGGCAAUAUCAGUGCUGGACUUCACCAUACAGCUUGUAGAAACAGGAGUAGAGCAUGAUGCUCUCCUGGCAUUGAUCAUUUUCUCUUUGCAGUAUGUCCUAGUCAAUCACGAGUAUUGGAAAUACAAGAUGAAACAUAUUAGAUGGAAAAUAACAUUGAAGGUUCUUGAGUUGAUGAAAAAAUGCAUUUCAUCAAUGCCUUAUUAUGGAAAAUUGGGUGAGAUCAUAAACAACGUGUUGUUCUCUGAUUCUUCCAUCCAUAACACACUAUUCCAAAUUGUUUGCACUAAUGCACAUGCUUUGGAGAAAUUGCAUGUAAGCCGCCUCUUUGAUCCAAUGGAAAUUGAAGGGUUACAGCUUGCUAUAGGUUCUGUUUUAGAUAUUCUUUCAGUCAUGUUGACCAAACUUUCUAAGGAUACAUCAUCGAACUUUCCAGUUUUUCUCCAAGCAUUGUUCUCAUGCACAACCAAACCGGUUCCUGUUGUCACUUCUGUUAUGUCCCUGAUUUCAUACUCUCAAGAUCCUGCCAUCCAAUUCGGUGCUGUUAGGUUUAUUUCAAUGUUAUUUGCCAUAGCAGAUUGUAUUCAACCAUUUUCAUAUGGAAUCACAUGCUUCAUUCCAGAUAAUGAGAUCAUGGAUUUGAGGCACUCUGUGAACUACAUACUGCUUGAGCAAUCAGAAUCAAAUGAAGAUCUCUUUGUUGCUACAGUCAAUCUGUUUACUUCUGCUGCACAUUACCAGCCUUCUUUCAUUAUUGCUAUCUUUGCUCUAGAGGAGAACACUGAAGACCACUUGAGCAUUGGUGAUGCAAAGCUGCAAAAAAAGGAAACUUCUCCUACAACUGUAGUUUCUAAAAGAUCAAGUCUUGUAGAUGCACUUAUGCACUAUAUUGAAAGGGCAGAUGAUCUGAUCAAGAGCAAUCCCCGCAUACUGCUUUGUGUACUUAACUUCAUGAUUGCCUUAUGGCAAGGGGCUCCCCAUUAUGCCAAUCUCUUGGAUGCUUUAAGAAGGCAUGGAAAGUUUUGGGAACACUUGGCCAAUGCAAUCUCUAACAUUGCUAGCAGUGAAAUUCCCUUACUUAGGAGUCUUGAAGAAAAAGAUGCUUUCAAUCUGGCUUACUGUUUCCAUUGUCAAUCUUCCAUACAUGGAAUCAUGGCUUAUGAAUUAUUCUUUCACAAGAAGUUGUUUCAUGCAGAGUCACUUGUGAAGGAUGCAGCUGAAUCCAAGGACAAGGAGCAAAAUGCCACAAAAACAGAAAAAUCCAAAGCACCAGAUCUUCAGGAUCUUAAGGGAAUCUGGUCUUCAUGGUUCAACGACUCUAUUUUAGAGAAACUAAUAAAGUCAUACACUUCUUGUGGAUAUAAUAAUGAUAUAUAUGGUGGUGCAAAGGUCGCCACCAGUUUAUUCUCUGUUCAUGUGAUGAUGAAAUUAGCAGUUUGUGACUCUGGAAGUAUAUCUGUGUUAUUGCUUCAGAAGAUUCAUGAAAUUCUGACGAAGCUCAGCAUUCAUCCUGCUUUCUCUGAAUUGGUGUCUCAGUAUUCACAACGUGGUUACAGUGAAGGGAAGGAACUAAAGAAAUUGAUACUCAGUGACCUCUAUUAUCAUUUGCAAGGAGAACUUGAAGGGAGGAAAAUUGAUAUUGGCCCAUUCAAAGAAUUAUCUCAGUAUCUUGUCGAAUCAAAUUUUUUGGGAACGUAUCAACACCUGUUCAAUGAAGACUCUUUUACAAAGAACAUGUUUACAAAGAAUGUGUACUUGUUUGACCUUGCACACUUGCGAGAAGAUUUGAGAUUAGAUUUGUGGGAUUGUUCUAAUUGGAAAACAUCCAAGGAGAUUGCAGAAACCAUGCUGCGUUUCCUGCAGGAUGCAAACUCAGUUAUGUUGCUUUCAAGUUCAAAGCUUUCUGCUUUGAAAGGACUGAUAGCUGUUUUGGCUGUCAACCAUUAUGAUUCACAAGGGAGGGCUACAACUGGAGGGAGAAUUUCAGAUGAACUCAUAUUCGCUUUCAUGGAUAAUAUAUGCCAAUCUUUCCUUGCUACCAUAGAGACAUUAUCAUCUGUUCUAGACGCCUCUGAGGAUAUUCUUAACUUUCUUGCAUGUCAAGCAGAAUUACUCCUCCAGUUGACAAGAACUGUCUGUAAAAGCCUCUCCUUACAUGUAUCCCUACUUGUUCUGAAAUGUGCUAGUUCAGGUCUUAAACUAUUGAGUGCACUUAAGCCUUUACCUUCUGAGGCUAAUCUGAUCAUGAAACUUUUACUCACAUUGCUGCUUUCAGUACUACAGUCCGACUCCCUUAAUGCACAUUCAGAUGGGGCAACUGAUGAGAGUUCUGGUGAGGACUUCUCAAAGGUUUCAAAUGCAACCCUGGGACUACUACCCAUUCUUUGCAACUGCAUUGCAACUUCUGAGCAUUGCAUGCUAUCCCUAUCAGUUAUGGACUUGAUAUUGAGACGCUUCUUGACACCCAGGACUUGGUUACCUGUCCUGCAGAAUCAUCUCCAACUGCCAAUUGUUAUGCUGAAACUCCAUGAUAAAAAUUCUGCCUCUAUUCCAAUAAUAAUGAAGUUCUUUUUGACCCUUGCACGGGUUAGAGGAGGUGCUGAGAUGCUUUAUUGUUCUGGCUUCUUGUCAUCUUUAAGAGUGCUAUUUGCUGAAUCCGGUGAGGAUUUCUUGAGAAUUGGUAGUGAGAAUCUGGGCAGCUCAUGUGAGAAGUUUGUAAUACCGCAGGAUAUUUGGGGUCUUGGAUUAGCUGUGGUUACUGCUAUGGUUAAAUCCUUGGGAGACAAUUCUUCUGGCACCGCUAUUGUGGACAGCAUGAUACCGUACUUUUUUUCAGAGAAAGCUCGUCUUAUUUUUAAUUCUCUAAAUGCCCCAGACUUUCCUUCUGAUGAUCAUGACAAGAAAAGACCUCGGGCACAGAGGGCAUGGAUUUCUUUAGCUACUCUUAAAGAAACUGAACAUACUUUGAUGCUCAUGUGUGAGCUAGCAAAACAUUGGAAUUCAUGGAUUAAGGCAAUAAGAAAUGUGGAUAGACAGCUUAGAGAGAAGUGUAUCCAUCUUUUAGCCUUCAUUAGCAGGGGAUCUCAACGCCUUAGUGAAUUGUCAAGCAGAAAUGCCCCUCUUUUAUGUCCACCUACUGUGAAAGAGGAAUUUGAAAUUUGCUUAAAACCUUCUUAUGUCAAUAGCAAAAAUGGAUGGUUUGCUCUUUCACCACUCGGAUGUGUGCCAAAACCGAAGAUCUCUUCUUUCUCAACUGCAUUAUCUACCUAUGGUCAAGCAACUGAGAGUAGGAAUCCUGCUUCAAAAACAGGCUUUUCUGAUACUGUUGCCUUGCAGGUAUAUAGAAUAGCAUUUCUCCUUUUAAAGUUUCUUUGUUUACAAACUGAGGGUGCUGCUAAAAGGGCUGAGGAAGUUGGGUUUGUUGAUCUUGCACAUUUUCCUGAGCUUCCAAUGCCAGAAAUCUUGCAUGGACUGCAGGAUCAAGCUAUUGCCAUUACUACGGAGCUCUGUGAAGCCAACAAACUAAAGGUCUCCCCAGAAACACAGGAUGUUUGCAACUUAUUGUUGCAAAUACUUGAAAUGGCCUUGCACUUGGAACUUUGUGUUCUACAAAUUUGUGGCAUAAGACCUGUAUUAGGACGUGUGGAGGAUUUUUCAAAGGAAGCCAAAUCUUUAUUUAGUGCAUUGGAGGGUCAUGCUUUUCUAAAAGCAUCUUGCAACUCUCUAAAACAGAUGAUAUCGUGUGUCUAUCCCGGAUUGCUGCAGGGAGAGAAUUUCAUAUAAGAUUUGAUGUAGACAAAAGAGCACAUUAUUAAUUGUACAGAAUUUCAUAGUGCCAAUUGUCAGUCUUCUUUCACUAUGUAGCUAGGAGAAAAGGUUAUCAACAUGGGGAUAAUACAUAGGCCGUGUGUUGCAUGAUUUUCGGUAGUAAAUGAAUUCUUUGUGCGGCCACGCACCGUGCCUCGGUGAUGGUGAUUGUGCCCAAUGCUGUCUUGGUUUCGCUUGAUCAGGACCUGUUCUAAAGGUUGACAAGUUUGACACAAUUUUGCAAGGGAUGUCAAAUACUUGAUUUUAACCAUAGUUCGAAAUUUGUGGUAAAUGGACUAUCAUCAUGUAAGUGAAAUCGUAAUUUACUUAUCAUAUUGAAUAUCAUGGCUCAACAGAUUUACUUUAUACAUCUUUAUAUUAAUUUAGGUCUCCUCUUCUCUAGGCGUUAAACGACCUUAAAUAUAGCCAAAGCUUAUUGGUCUGCAAUUUAAUUGGCUUUUAAAGAAUUCUGGAAAAUACUGUAUAAACAGGCCUAUUUCCACAAUUUUGGGUACUGAACUGACAUGGUGGGUGCAAUCGUAA